This 76-nucleotide small RNA is filed under the name Xanthomonas arboricola. RNAcentral describes it as "sX9". The record is from RNAcentral. Lineage: Bacteria; Pseudomonadati; Pseudomonadota; Gammaproteobacteria; Lysobacterales; Lysobacteraceae.
AGGUGCCACAAGGACAGUGCGGUUGCUGCUCGCCGUCCACGCUUACGUGAAGCCGACGCGCUAGAUUUUUUCAGCC